AUACGGAGGGUGCAAGCGUUAUUCGGAAUCACUGGGCGUAAAGGACGCGUAGGCGGGUUUGUAAGUCAGGUGUGAAAUCCUACAGCUUAACUGUAGAACUGCUCUUGAAACUACAGACCUAGAGUAUGGGAGGGGCAGAUGGAAUUAGUGGUGUAGGGGUAAAAUCCGUAGAUAUCACUAAGAAUACCGAAAGCGAAGGCGAUCUGCUGGAACAUAACUGACGCUAAGGCGUGAAAGCGUGGGGAGCAAACAGGAUUAGAAACCCUAGUAGUCC
This 274-nucleotide ribosomal RNA is filed under the name uncultured bacterium. RNAcentral's name for it is "partial 16S ribosomal RNA". It matches the Rfam family "Bacterial small subunit ribosomal RNA", at positions 523 to 796 of the family's 1533-position model. The record is from RNAcentral.